This 397-nucleotide ribosomal RNA is filed under the name uncultured bacterium. RNAcentral describes it as "partial 16S ribosomal RNA". It matches the Rfam family "Bacterial small subunit ribosomal RNA", at positions 523 to 918 of the family's 1533-position model. The record is from RNAcentral.
AUACGUAGGUGACAAGCGUUAUCCGGAUUUACUGGGCGUAAAGGGCGUGUAGGCGGUCUUGCAAGUCAGAAGUGAAAUUCCUGAGCUCAACUCGGGCGCUGCUUCUGAAACUGCAGGACUUGAGUGCUGGAGGGGAUAGCGGAAUUCCUAGUGGAGCGGUAAAAUGCGCAGAUAUUAGGAAGAACACCGGUGGCGAAGGCGGCCAUCUGGACAGUAACUGACGCUGAGGCGCGAAAGCGUGGGGAGCAAACAGGAGUAGAUACCCUGGUAGUCCACGCCGUAAACGGUGAAUACUAGGUGUAGGGGGUAUCGACUCCCUCUGUGCCGCAGUUAACACAAUAAGUAUUCCGCCUGGGGAGUACGGCCGCAAGGUUGAAACUCAAAUGAAUUGACGGGG